ACGAGCCACCCACCUCGGAUCCGAAGUUCGGUCAAUUCAAAGCCCUCUAGCGAGGCCCUCGCAUGCGCAACGCAUGUGUGAGCAGGUGCUGCCUCCUUCGGAUCUGCUGCCGCGUGUCUUUUUUUUGACCGUCCGAUCAGAAGCCUCGCCCCUAUAAAUAGAAGGGUGCGAGACCUCCCGGGUAACUUUGAAAAUUUGCCACUUUUAACCCCUUUUCCCAUAUUUUCUUCAUAUUAACAUCCCGCAAAGCCCCGGUAUCGAUUGUAAAGCCCGGAAUACGCCACGAAGUGCCCGAGAAGCCCGGAAAAUUUAUUUUUUCGGUUUCGAAGCCCGACUUUUGCAAAGCCCGGUUUCUCAAUAAAACUCCCGGUUUUAUUAGAAACGAUCGUUUUAGGAAACGAAUUGCUGCCCGAUUAUCAUCAAAUCAUGUGAGUGUAUAGUCACUUUCAUUUUACACAUAGAUAUGAAGUAUUUACCUUAUAAUACGUGCUAUGUGUAAAUAUAUUAAUUGUUUAUUUGAGGUGAUUGUUGUGUUGAUGUUUUAUACAAGUUUUAAACUGUAUAAGUAUUUUUAUCUACAAAUAUGUUGGGUAGAACAUGGGUAGAUUGUGAUGUGUGAUAAAAUAAAAUUGAUGAGAGGCCUCGAUGUGUUUUGAGAUCCAGUCAUCUAGCGGAGUUUGGAUGACGACCACGGACUUUCUAGACAGUCCAGUGGGAAACAUUAGCAGGUCCGCAACCUGUAGGUGUUAAUGAACUAAGAGUGUUCAUUCGCUGUACUCCAUCCCCCUCAUGGUUGCCUUUAGGACAUGUAUGGCUGAGGAAACCCCUUAGCAGUAGUGUCCAUCCCGAUGAUAUUCUUUAGGCUAGGUCCCUUGUGACAAGUGUUUAGGGACAUAAAGUGAGGAUAACGGGAACGGGUAAUCAGGGUUAUUGUUGAUUGAUGAACUUAGUAAGUUUAUUAUUAUUGUGGGUUGAAAACCCUAUAUGCUCACCAGGCUCCCAAGCCUGACCCACUCAGCUUUUUAUGUUACAGGUAGUGGACCCCGAGCAUAGUCGGAGGACAACGAGAGAUUUUUGGAUUAUAGGCCAGUAGUUGUAAAUAACUGUUGAAAGGCUUAUAAUGUCUUGUUUAUGCUUUUGAUCUGUAUCGGAACAUGACAUCCCGAGGUUUUGAUAUAUAUAUGGAAAACAUAUACCUUCUUAAUGAAGGGUUUUGAUAAACUUUUAUCAUAUUUUGUUUAGGGACCAAUUCCGCAACAUCUUUUAAAAAGAUUUCACUGAUUUUAUUUUAAAAAGCAUAAAUUAAAUCGGUCUUUUCUGGCCGAGAAAUUGGGGGAUGUCACAGUUGGUAUCAGAGCAUUAGUUUAAGCGAACUAAGAAGUUGUAGAAUUUCUAGACUUAAACAUAGAAUGCUAAGUGAUGAUUGUGAGAUGAGUGUCUACCAUAUUUUAGACACGAGCACUAGUUUAUUUUAGGGAAGAUGCCUAAAAUGCCCUUAUNGCUAAAUGUUAUAUGUUUUCCAUAUAUGCCAUUAUUGUUCGGAUCUAUGGUCUGUUGCCGACCGGAUCUGGAAACCUUAUGUGUGUAGGAUUCUAACCGUACGAUUACGAGAUUAGAACUAACAUGUAAACGUUUCGGAGGGAUAAAGGAAUUUAAAUACCUAUCGAGGGUAAAGACCUAAAUUCGCCUUAUUCGGUAUAUAGAUUGUAAUGGCAAGAACUCGUAGUGCAGUUGCAAAUGCAAAUGGAAACAGCGAUCAAGAGCACCAACCUCAAGUAGUUGAGCAAGUACCUGUUGUAGGAUCUGCACCUGAGCCAAUGGCGAUGGCUGGGGUACAAGCAAUGAUGCAAAUGAUGUUAGAUCGCCAGAUGGAGGAGACAAGGCGAUUACUACAACAACAUAGGGAAGAGACUACGAUGCCUGUUGAACAGCCCGUAUUGAAUGAAGGGCAAUCAGUAGGAGGGAACUACAGUGGGACUCUUGGUCAAGCCAACCCACCGAUAGUUAGACAAAACAACCAGGAUGGAGGAGUUGAUGGACGCGGAUGCAAAUACAAAGAUUUCAUGGCAUCUAAACCGCCGUGUCUAUCUGGAAGUCCGACACCGGUGGAAGUCAUGAAUUGGAUCUCCGAAAUGGAGACGAUGUUUGAAAGUUGCGAGUGCAGCAACAAACAAAAGACCGCACUUGCAAUUCCUCUGUUAAAGUCUGGUGUGUUGAGCUGGUGGAAGUUACUAGCUGAUUCGAUGCCCAAGGGUGAAGCUAGUAAGAUGUCUUGGGAAGAAUUUGUGGUACAACUGAAAUUGCAGUACUGCUCUGAGCAGGAUCUUCUGGAAAUCAACAAUGAGUUUCAGAAUUUAAAGAAAGGAAAGAUGAGCGUUACUGAAUACGCUGCUAGUUUUAUGGAAAAGAUGAAGCUAGUUCCUCAUCUAGUUCCAACUGAACUCUCUAAGGUCAACAAGUUUGCCCUCGGAUUACCAGCGGACUUUGGUCCGAUGGUUAAGCAAGCAACCACUUUGAAAGCCGCCAUCUGGGCUGCUAAGAAUGUCGAGGUUCAGAUCAAGGAGAAGGGUCUGGAGAGGGCAGAAGUUGGUGAAAAGAGAAAAUUUGAAGGAACUUCGGGUUCCAACAAGAAAAGCAAAUUUUCUAAGUCCAAGAAGUUUGGAGGAGGAGGAGGUGAAGUGAAAUGGUGUGAGAAGUGCAAGAGAAAGCACUCUGGGAGAUGUAGUGAGGAGGUGACUUGCUUCAAAUGUGGAAAGACUGGGCAUUAUGCCAACGUGUGUCCGUCCGACAAGAGGGUAUGUUUUGAGUGCCAUGAAGUAGGGCAUGUUCUUAAAGACUGUCCAAAGAGGAAGGAUGCCGCAAAGCCCAAUCUACCACCAAAGCCGAAGGCGAGAGCCUUUCAGAUGACACUUGAAGCUGCAAAAGAAGAAGUCGAUGUCGCUUCAGGUACCUUUCUCGUAAACGAAUUGCCUGCCCAAAUUUUGUUUGAUUCUGGAGCCAAUUACUCCUUUAUAUCGCAUGAAUUUGGUAGAAAGCUAGCUUUGCCUGUAGAUAGGCUAGUUAANGACAAUACUUGGGACGAGUAUGAGUAGGUGCGAAUGGUAGUAGAGGCCUAUACUACCGGAAGCACAAGACUCGUACUUGGAUCAGGGAAAGUCACAAGGUUACCAAGGAGCUAUUAUUUGAUUUCGUCUUGUUCUAGUAUGUUGUUACCAUCGUUUCGCUAAUGAGUAAGAAGAUGAUUGUUAUUCUGACCUUAGAGCUCAUAUUGAAUCGAGUCCGACUAAGAUGAGUAUGUUACGUGGUUCAGAGAGACAAGUUCGAUGUAGCAUUUGACUUAAGCCAGAAGAUUGAAGUAAAAGAUGAUUAAAGCGAUCAACAGAAGUAUCGCACUCAUUGUUAAAGAAGUUGAUAUUUAGGAAUAAUACAUGUUGAACUGUGAUUGUAUCACAUUAGAACAUGAAGGAAGGUGUAGUUUGUUCUGAAAAUUGUCCCAAGGAGAUCUGAGUCUAAGUAGUGCAGUAUAUAAUAAGAGAUCAUUAGAACAUGACCCAUCGGUCUGUUACAAUAAAUGAAGGAAAGUACUUAUUCCAUGAAGAAGAAGGAGUCCUCAAUAAGGAAUUAUUUGUAACUCGAAGGUUGCGAUUGAAGGUCCUAUAAAGAUCUGAAGCUUUUUAGGAUUAGCUGAAUAUUAUUACUGAAUUAUCCAAGGCUUUUCUUCGAUCGUGAUUCCAUUGACAGCUUUGACCCACAAAGGAGCUGUCUAUACUUAGAAUGAGAAGCAUAGGAAGCUUUGAGAAGUUAAAGAAGAAAUUGUGUGAAGCACCGAUUCUUUCAUUACCUAAAGGAUUUGAUGACUUCACAGUUUAUAGUGAUGCCUCUGGAGUUGGGUUAGGAUGUGUUCUGACCCAAAGGGAUAAGGUGAUAGCGUAUUCAUCGAGGCAAUUGAAAGAGCAUGAAAAGAACUACCCUACUCACGAUUUGGAGUUGGCAGUGGUAGUAUUCGCCCUAAAGAUAUGGAGGCAUUAUCUUUAUGGCACAAAGUGUAAAAUUUUCACUGAUCAUAAGAGUCUCCAAUAUCUCUUUGAUCAGAAGGAAUUUAACAUCAGGCAACGAUGUUGGCUAGUAUUACUCAAAGACUACGACUGUGAGAUACAUUACCACCCUGGUAAAGCAAAUGUUGUUGCUGAUAUUCUCAGUCGGAAGGUAAGUCUUGAAAAGAAAAGGCCAAGAGCGUUGAGAAUUGAAGUUGUCUCGACAAUUUUGGAAAGUAUAAAGAAAGCUCAAGAGGAAGCUUUGGAGAAAAAUGACCGAAAGGAAGAACGUUUGGGCAAAAUGUUACUGUUCGGUACAAACAACCAAUAGUUGAAGGUAUUCCAAGAUAGGAUUUGGGUACCUAAGACGGGCGGAGUAAGAGAUCUUCUGAUGGAAGAAGCUCACAAGACCAUGUACUCGAUUCAUCCCAGCAGUACAAAAAUGUAUAGGGAUCUAAAACCCUAUUAUUGGUGGCCGACGAUGAAGCUCGAUGUUGCUAAGUAUGUGGCCGAGUGUGUAACUUGUGCUAGGGUUAAGGCACAACAUCAGAAACCAUAUGGGAGUUUAGAACCUUUACCUGUACCCAUGGGUAAAUGGGAAGAUAUCACUAUGGAUUUUGUGACUAAACUGCCCAGAACAAGGAACGGUCACGACAUGAUUUGGGUGGUCGUUGAUCGCUUCACUAAGAGUGCGCAUUUCAUAGCAGCCAAAGAGAAAUGGUCUAUGGAUAAACUUGCGAAUUCUUACGUGAAGGAAAUUGUGAGGCUUCACGGUGUUCCGUUAACGAUUGUGUCCGAUCGUGAUAGCCGUUUUACCUCAAGGUUUUGGAGGAGUCUACAAGAGGAAUUGGGUACCAAGUUGUGUUUGAGUACAGCUUACCAUCCGCAAACCGAUGGUCAGAGCGAGCGAACGAUUCAAACAUUGGAGGAUAUGCUGAGAGCAUGUACCCUAGAAUUCCAAGGUAACUGGGAUGAACACUUACCUUUAGUAGAAUUCUCCUAUAAUAAUAGUUUCCACUCAAGCAUUAAGAUGGCACCUUAUCACGCUUUGUAUGGGGAGAAGUGUCGAACGCCAUCAUGUUGGCUGGAAGCUGGGGAAAAGCAGUUUAUGGGACCUGAAAUAGUCCAUGAGACUGCUGAAAAGUUGAAAGUGAUAAGGGAAAGGAUGUUAGCUGCUCAAGAUCGACAAAAGAGUUAUGCUGACAAGAAAAGACAACCGAUAUCCUUCGAUGUUGGAGAUUCGGUUUUACUUAAAGUCUCGCCGUGGAAGGGACUUAUAAGAUUUGGUAAGAGAGGGAAGUUGAGUCCAAGGUUUAUUGGACCAUUUAAAGUUCUUCAGAGGAUCGGGAAUCAAGCUUACAAGCUAGAGUUACCGGAAGAACUAGAGGGUAUUCAUAACACCUUUCAUGUGUGUUAUUUGAGAAAGUUCACAGGAGAUGUGCCCGACAUAAUUCCGAUUUCUGAGUUAAGGUUGGAUGAAAACAAGAGGUUGAUCGAAGAACCUGAGGCAAUCGUUGACCGUAAGACUAUGAAGUUACGACGCAAGAUGGUCGAUUUAGUGCUUGUGCGCUGGAAACAUACGAAUGGACCAAAUCUCACUUGGGAAACGGAGAGUGACAUGAUGAGUCGCUACCCGCAGUUGUUUGGUGAUAUGUGAUUCCGGGGACGGAAUCAUCCUAAGGGGGAGAGAAUUGUAACACUCGUGUUUCUAGCCUAGGCAUUUAUAUUGAGUUGAUAGUCUAGGUUAACCUUUGUAACUCAUUUUGAAGAAAUGAAAAGGAGUUAUGUGAAUAUUAUGUGAAUUAUGUGUUUUAUGCUUAAUUAUUAGGGCUUAAUUAAUUAAGAAUAAAAAUAAGCGUCAAAAUUAAAGUGUGAGAUAAGCCCGAUAUCUUUACAUAAAGUUGUAGUGGUCGAAACAAGGAUUUCGGGGAUAUAAAGAAUGCUAAAAUCCGAGUUAUAACAAAGAAGUUAUGACCUGUCGAAGUUUCGCGACAAAACCUGCACGGUGCUGAAUGUCGUAAAAAGUGAGUUUUUGAUAAACUACUUUUUAGCCUUAGUAAUCUAAACGAAAGUCGUGGUAUUCGUUAAACCGAGAAGUUCGAUAAAAAGAACGCCCAAAUCUGACUUCGUAUGAGAAAGUUAUGAUUUUUCGAAGUUUCAGCGUAGUAGUAGACAGCUAAAAACUCGAAUUUUAGAUCGAGCGAUUUUUAGCCGACACAACCUAAAUGAGAAUUGAAGGUCUCGUCAUUAGGAGCACAACGGUAAAAAGUCUGACGAAAACGGACGUCGGAUGAAGAAGUUAUGAAUUUUUAACGGAUUUCCUGUCCCGGUCUGUUAAAAAUAAUAAUAUAAAAUUUAAAUUCAAAAUUAGCCAAUGAAGUCUAAAUGGAAGUUGUAGAGUGUAACUUUAGCUACGCGUGCAUAUAAAGAACGUCAAAAACGGAGCUCGUAUACGAAAGUUAUGAAUUUUAGAAGAUUUUGGAACAAAAUUCGAGAAAUUUCGCAUAGAUAAGCUUCACCUGGAAAUGCCACGUCACCCUCGCCUCGCAUGCGCCACGUGUCCUGCUGAGUCACCCGAGCUGCUGAGUCAUCCGAGCAGCUGGCAGUCGCGUGUCACUUCCGGAUUCGACCGAAGUCUCGGCCCUCGCACAUCCGACGCGUGCAUAGUGAUUCAUCGCAUCUGAAGCCUUCGCAUGAGCCACGAGCCACCCACCUCGGAUCUGAAGUUCCGUCCAAUCAAAGCCCUCCAGCGAGGCCCUCGCAUGUGCAACGCAUGUGCGAGAAGGUGCUGCCUCCUUCGGAUCUGCUGCCGCGUGUCUUUUUUUUUAGGAAACGCAUUGCUGCCCGAUUAUCAUUAAAUCAUGUGAGUGUAUAGUCACUUUCAUUUUACACAUAGAUAUGAAGUAUUUACCUUAUAAUACGUGCUAUGUGUAAAU
Molecule: long non-coding RNA, 6970 nt
Filed under: Lactuca sativa (garden lettuce)
Lineage: Eukaryota; Viridiplantae; Streptophyta; Magnoliopsida; Asterales; Asteraceae
Description: long non-coding RNA (LSAT_LNC004661)
Source: RNAcentral